This is a long non-coding RNA of Mus musculus (house mouse), 274 nucleotides long. RefSeq annotates it as predicted gene, 36534. The transcript is spliced from 3 exons. Lineage: Eukaryota; Metazoa; Chordata; Mammalia; Rodentia; Muridae. The record is from RefSeq and is a predicted model, not a curated record.
AGUCCUGUGCCCGGCUUUUUCACAGUGACAUCCUCUGAGUCUUACUGUGGAGACAGUGGUGGCGAACUUGUAGGAACUUCUGAUCCCUCGGAGCACAGGCCAUGCUGAAAGCCCAGAAGAAGCUGACAGGAGACGAUGCGCCUUUCCAAUCCCCAGGCCUGCUUCUUGGGUGUGGAUCAGAUGUGACCUCUCAGCUACUGUCUGCCAACAUACUCUUCACCAUGAUUGUCAAGUUCUCACCCUCUGAAACUGUAAGCAAGCUCCCAAUUAAAUG